Long non-coding RNA from Humulus lupulus (European hop), 1068 nucleotides. RefSeq lists it as uncharacterized. The record is from RefSeq and is a predicted model, not a curated record. The transcript is spliced from 2 exons. NCBI's taxonomy places the organism in Eukaryota, Viridiplantae, Streptophyta, Magnoliopsida, Rosales, Cannabaceae.
UUGCUUUUGUUGAUUUGUUUAUACUAUCUAAUAUUUUACAAAUUUUUAGUAACGUACUUUAUUAGAAUAUAUAAAGCUGCUAAUGUUUCCAUUUGCACAAGUGUGGAGGUUGUGCAACUAUUGAAAUUGGUUUUGCAGCUUUUGAAUUUCAAAGCUGGGAUGGUUAGUUUUUAUCUAUUUAAAAUAGUAUAGAUUUGUUAAGGAUUAAUAUAUAUGUAAUCACUGUAACUUUGUGAUUUGGAGAGGGCUAUACAAGGGUCCCGUUAUUAGAACUGGAGAAUUUCUUUUUUUGAUGUUCUUUACAUUUUAGUCAAAUUUGCUUUACUUGAUAGGUGUACGAGUUUAUAUAAGAGUCUUGCUAGGAAGUUGCAAGGAAGAAUAUAUAUUUGAGAGUUAUAUAUUGAGAAUCCAAUUAAAAGAAAGUGGAAAGGAUCAAUGAGAGAAGUUGACCGUUGUUUUCAUUUGGUUUCAGUUUAAUUUAAGAGUUUGGUCAAAGUAUGUAGUUCACUAGUUGCUCCUGGGCCUUUUAAACAAAAAAAUCUUAGUAGCUCCUGGACCUUUUAAACAAAAUAUCAUAUGGAGCGUUGUUAUAUAGGCACCAGUAGUGGUUGGUGUCUAACACCACCACAUUUUGAUGGGUACAAUUUACUAGCAGAUCAUAUGUAUUUUAUUCUAAAUAAAAAAAGCUCUUAAAAGUGUUCAUUAGACAAAUGAUAGUUGAUACAAGGGUGACAUGUAAAAGAAUAUACAAGUAUGUAUGCAUAUAUUUGUUGUGUUGAUUUUAACCGUUUUAAAAGAGCAUGUCAACAUCUGACAUUUUUCUUUUUUUAUAAUGUUGAUUAAAAUGAAUAGGUUAAUAUUUUGAUUGGUCUUAAAGCAUUGGAUUGGUAGCUAAUUGCAAGAGUUCACCUUCGACAAGCCAUAUACUACUCAAGAAAUUGAUGAAGUUAGAGAAGAAUGGGCAAUGUUAUUUUUACAUUUGGUUAGAGCAAAAUGAAUGAUGUUAUAGCUAGCUAAUUACAAUACAUGUUUAGAAAUUUUAAAUUUAUUUCGUAAAAUUUUUUGCCA